AUUAAACGCUGGCGGCAUGCCUUACACAUGCAAGUUGAACGGCAGCACGAGGGCAACCCUGGUGGCGAGUGGCGGACGGGUGAGUAAAGCAUCGGAACGUAUCCUGGAGUGGGGGAUAACGUAGCGAAAGUUACGCUAAUACCGCAUAUUCUGUGAGCAGGAAAGCAGGGGAUCGCAAGACCUUGCGCUCUGGGAGCGGCCGAUGUCGGAUUAGCUAGUUGGUGGGGUAAAGGCCUACCAAGGCGACGAUCCGUAGCGGGUCUGAGAGGAUGAUCCGCCACACUGGGACUGAGACACGGCCCAGACUCCUACGGGAGGCAGCAGUGGGGAAUUUUGGACAAUGGGCGGAAGCCUGAUCCAGCCAUGCCGCGUGAGUGAAGAAGG
RNAcentral lists this ribosomal RNA (384 nucleotides) under uncultured bacterium. RNAcentral's name for it is "bacterial SSU rRNA". It matches the Rfam family "Bacterial small subunit ribosomal RNA", at positions 29 to 414 of the family's 1533-position model. The record is from RNAcentral.